Long non-coding RNA from Eriocheir sinensis (Chinese mitten crab), 1602 nucleotides. RefSeq lists it as uncharacterized. The transcript is spliced from 3 exons. The record is from RefSeq and is a predicted model, not a curated record. NCBI's taxonomy places the organism in Eukaryota, Metazoa, Arthropoda, Malacostraca, Decapoda, Varunidae.
UCAAAACACUAUGUAAAUAAAAACUACAUUUAAUUUAGGAUGACCCAAUCUUCCGAUAUGGCACUAUUAUCAUAGGUUCAGCUCAUACCCGACGCUGACGGUGGCGAUAGAAAUAUUACCCCGGCACACGAUAACGCGGGUGAAGGACUCAGCCAGCCCUGAGGGAUACCGCAUAGAAUAUACUGGAACGAUGGACUUGGUCGUAAGAUUCUUCGCUCAGGCCAUGAACUUUACGUAAGUUGGACACAGCUUCAAUUACAGUGCAAAAAGUUCUGAGUGACUACUGACACACAUAUCUAAUGAAUCAGACAUGUCUUGCACUGGACUCCCAAUACUUAGGCACAGGUACGUUCUGUCCCCCGAGAGAACCUUCGGCAGCAAGCUGCCUGACGGGUCCUGGACCGGCAUGCUGGGCAUGGUGUUCCGGGAGGUGAGGCAAAAUCUGUUUUCUCACGUAUACCAAAGAUAAAAAAGUUAAAUCCAUAUGAAGGGUGUAAGGCAAAAGUCAAGGCGUCUUUAACGAGUGUGAAGCUUUUCAAAUCGACGCUUUCUCUCUCCACUGGUCCAGGAGGCCGAUCUAGCUACUGGACCCUUCGUACUGUCACCGGGGCGGGUAGACGCCUACGACUAUACUCAUGCUCUCUCGAAUGAACACUUAAGGAUAUUAAGUGGACUUGGAGGCCUAACAGUGGACCCUUGGGGCUUCAUGCUACCCCUGACGCCCCUGGUGUGGGCGGCCACCCUGACAGCGCUGCUGGGCGUGCUAGCCGUCCUGCAGCUGCUUUCCUUCUAUUUGUCCGGCAACGCACUCAACCGCGGCGGCUGGGUUGCCGACAACGCCUCCAGAUGUGUCCGUGUCAUCCUCCAGCAAGGUGAGGCCUCCGGGACCGUGCUCAGCCACUCCUGUUUGCAUGAUGUCUGUCUUGCAUAUUGAAGGUAUCCAUGCUCACAAGGAACAGCUUUCGUGCCUUAGUGAAGAGUAACUGCCUCACUCUUUCCCUUCGUAGACAUUGUGUUGCCCACGGAGUGGUGGUUUAUGGAGCGUCUGGUGCUGGGGCUGUGGAUGCUGACGACUCUGGUGCUGACCAAGAGCUAUGCCGGCAACCUCAUGUCGUUAAUGGCCGUGAGAUAUCUCGCACAGCCCUUCCAAACUCUGGAAGAUGUCCUCGACGAUCCAGAUGUUACUAUGAUAUUUCAGAAGUAUUCCAGUACUGAACAGUUCAUAAGAGAAGCUCAGUCCGGCGUGUUCCGCGAGGUGGCGCUGCUGGAGAAGGAAGGUCGUCUGUUGUUUCACACGCGUGCACAGUUUCAGAAAAGCCUCGACACCCUGGUCAGGGCCGGGGACCACGUGCUCGUCGACCCAAUGACUCCACUCAAAGGCUUGGUGGCCAUGGAUUUCAGUGAGAAUGGUCGUUGUGGUUUCUAUCUAUCGAGGGAUGGUUUUCUUCCGUUUUCCGCCGCUCUGAUGAGUCAAAAAAAGAAUCCCAUCAUACGCGGUCUCAAUUCCAGGUGAUAUUGUUCAGUGGUUUUCUUAUGACUAGUGUAAAGAUCUUCAAAUUUUUGCAAUCUUUUGCUUCUUUCGUGUCACGCAGGUUUGUUGCA